Molecule: long non-coding RNA, 691 nt
Filed under: Numida meleagris (helmeted guineafowl)
Lineage: Eukaryota; Metazoa; Chordata; Aves; Galliformes; Numididae
Description: lncRNA (ENSNMEG00000010568.1)
Source: RNAcentral
GAAAGGGAGGAAGUUUCUCCGUUUCUGAUUAUGCGCAGAGUUUCCUUGUACUGAGCUUAUGUUCUCCACCCACUACUUAGUAAGAACUCCUUAACAACUUAAAGCUUUAUCCCUCUGAGUACCAGAAAAGUGAUUUGAGUAGUUAUUGAGCAGGGAGAAUAAACUGCUUGCUCCAGGCAGGGAGAAAGCUUAUGGAAAUGAUAUUAGACCUUCAGCAAAGUGCACAGCUGCAUCAUACAGAAGCCGAGACUCAAAUUGACAGGCAAAUAAGCCAGAUCACGGAAGGGGCCUCUGUGUGGCAGCUCUGAGCUCCCAAGUGUUGGACAACUAGGCAAAAAGUGCACUGGAACAGGGCAGAAAAUAGCACACUAACGUCAGGCAACUGUUGCAUUUUCAUGGCCUGGAAAGUAGCGUUUUCUGUAGAUGUCAGCUUCUGUCUGGUGUGAUGCUCCAUUCUUCUGGUGAUGUCACGUGCAGCACUGAGUAAUACUGGAAAACUGAAGAGGUCUCUUAGAAUAAGGAACAAUAAUGAGACUAUUUCAAAGAGGAUGAACAUAUUUAUGUGUACUGAUGGGGCUUUUCAUUCUUAGCUAGUUCCAAGGAUGUCUAUUUUAUGUAUGAAAUACUCAUUUUUUAAAAAAGCAAAUUGUCCAAAAAUAAAUUGACCAAAAAAAGCUAAUGAGAGGGCUGU